RNAcentral lists this ribosomal RNA (478 nucleotides) under uncultured bacterium. RNAcentral's name for it is "bacterial SSU rRNA". It matches the Rfam family "Bacterial small subunit ribosomal RNA", at positions 335 to 799 of the family's 1533-position model. The record is from RNAcentral.
ACUCCUACGGGAGGCAGCAGUGGGGAAUAUUGGACAAUGGGCGAAAGCCUGAUCCAGCCAUGCCGCGUGUGUGAAGAAGGUCUUCGGAUUGUAAAGCACUUUAAGUUGGGAGGAAGGGCAGUAAGUUAAUACCUUGCUGUUUUGUACGUUACCAACAGAAUAAGCACCGGCUAACUUCGUGCCAGCAGCCGCGGUAAUACGAAGGGGUGCAAGCGUUAAUCGGAAUUACUGGGCGUAAAGCGCGCGUAGGUGGUUCAGCAAGUUGGAUGUGAAAUCCCCGGGGCUCAACCUGGGGAACUGCAUCCAAAACUACUGAGCUAGAGUACGGUAGAGGGUGGUGGAAUUUCCUGUGUAGCGGUGAAAUGCGUAGAUAUAGGAAGGAACACCAGUGGCGAAGGCGACCACCUGGACUGAUACUGACACUGAGGUGCGAAAGCGUGGGGAGCAAACAGGAUUAGAUACCCCUGGUAGGAUAGCG